RNAcentral lists this transfer RNA (81 nucleotides) under Candidatus Pacearchaeota archaeon RBG_13_36_9. RNAcentral describes it as "tRNA-Ser". It matches the Rfam family "tRNA". Rfam says of the family: Transfer RNA (tRNA) molecules are approximately 80 nucleotides in length. Their secondary structure includes four short double-helical elements and three loops (D, anti-codon, and T loops). The record is from RNAcentral. Lineage: Archaea; Nanobdellati.
GCCGCCAUCGCAUAACGGUAUUGCACCGGAUUGCUAAUCCGGGCCCUUCGGGGCGCCUGGGUUCAACUCCCAGUGGCGGCG